RNAcentral lists this ribosomal RNA (468 nucleotides) under uncultured bacterium. RNAcentral describes it as "partial 16S ribosomal RNA". It matches the Rfam family "Bacterial small subunit ribosomal RNA", at positions 28 to 507 of the family's 1533-position model. The record is from RNAcentral.
GACGAACGCUGGCGGCGUGCUUAACACAUGCAAGUCGAACGGAAAGGCCCUGCUUUUGUGGGGUGCUCGAGUGGCGAACGGGUGAGUAACACGUGAGUAACCUGCCCUUGACUUUGGGAUAACUUCAGGAAACUGGGGCUAAUACCGGAUAGGAGCCCCUGCUGCACGGUGGGGGUUGGAAAGUUUCGGCGGUUGGGGAUGGACUCGCGGCUUAUCCGCAUGUUGGUGGGGUAGUGGCUUACCAAGCCUUUGACGGGUAGCCGGCCUGAGAGGGUGACCGGCUACAUUGGUACAGAGACACGGCCGAGACUCCUACGGGAGGCAGCAGUAGGGAAUAUUCAACAACGGGCGGAAGCCUGACGCAGCAACGCCGCGUGCGGAAUGACGGCCGUCGGGUUAUAAACCGCUUUCGCCUGUGACGAAGCGUGAGUGACGGUAAUGGGUAAAGAAGCACCGGCUAACUACGUG